UGGGGAAUAUUGGACAAUGGGGGAAACCCUGAUCCAGCAAUGCCGCGUGAGUGAAGAAGGCCUUAGGGUUGUAAAGCUCUUUCGCCCGCGAAGAUAAUGACGGUAGCGGGAGAAGAAGCCCCGGCUAACUCCGUGCCAGCAGCCGCGGUAAUACGGAGGGGGCUAGCGUUGUUCGGAAUUACUGGGCGUAAAGAGUGCGUAGGCGGUUUUCUAAGUUCGGUGUGAAAUCUCCCGGCUUAACUGGGAGGGUGCGCCGAAGACUGGGAAGCUGGAGUGUGGGAAAGGCAGGCGGAAUUCCUGGUGUAGCGGUUAAAUGCGUAGAUAUCAGGAGGAACACCGGCGGUGUAGACGGCCUGCUAAACCAUAACUGACGCUGAGGCACGAAAGCGUGGGUAGCAAA
Molecule: ribosomal RNA, 400 nt
Filed under: uncultured bacterium
Lineage: Bacteria
Description: bacterial SSU rRNA
Rfam family: Bacterial small subunit ribosomal RNA
Source: RNAcentral